RNAcentral lists this ribosomal RNA (388 nucleotides) under uncultured bacterium. RNAcentral's name for it is "bacterial SSU rRNA". It matches the Rfam family "Bacterial small subunit ribosomal RNA", at positions 8 to 373 of the family's 1533-position model. The record is from RNAcentral.
AGAGUUUGAUCCUGGCUCAGGACGAACGCUGGCGGCGUGCCUAACACAUGCAAGUCGAACGGAGAAUUUCAAUAAGCUUGCUUAGAGAAAUUCUUAGUGGCGGACGGGUGAGUAACGCGUGGGUAACCUACCCAUAAAGCCGGGACAACCCUUGGAAACGAGGGCUAAUACCGGAUAAUCUUAGAACUUGGCAUCAAGAUUUAAGGAAAGGUGGCCUCUGAAGAUGCUACCGAUUAUGGAUGGACCCGCGUCUGAUUAGCUAGUUGGUGGGGUAAAGGCCUACCAAGGCGACGAUCAGUAGCCGGCCUGAGAGGGUGAACGGCCACACUGGGAGUGAGACACGGCCCAGACUCCUACGGGAGGCAGCAGUGGGUUUUCUUCCGCUAUG